Molecule: ribosomal RNA, 279 nt
Filed under: uncultured bacterium
Lineage: Bacteria
Description: partial 16S ribosomal RNA
Rfam family: Bacterial small subunit ribosomal RNA
Source: RNAcentral
UGCCAGCCGCCGCGGUAAUACGUAAGUCGCAAGCGUUGUUCGGAUUUACUGGGCGUAAAGCGCUCGUAGGCGGAUCUUUAAGUCAGAGGUGAAAUCCCGGAGCUCAACUUCGGAACUGCCUUUGAUACUGGGGAUCUCGAGUCCGGGAGAGGUGAGUGGAACUGCGAGUGUAGAGGUGAAAUUCGUAGAUAUUCGCAAGAACACCAGUGGCGAAGGCGGCUCACUGGCCCGGUACUGACGCUGAGGAGCGAAAGCGUGGGGAGCAAACAGGAUUAGAUA